CAACUUUCAACAACGGAUCUCUUGGCUCUCACAUCGAUGAAGAACGCAGCGAAAUGCGAUAAGUAAUGUGAAUUGCAGAAUUCAGUGAAUCAUCGAAUCUUUGAACGCAAAUUGCGCCCUUUGGUAUUCCGAAGGGCAUGCCUGUUUGAGUGUCUUAU
This 158-nucleotide ribosomal RNA is filed under the name uncultured Dioszegia. RNAcentral describes it as "5.8S ribosomal RNA". It matches the Rfam family "5.8S ribosomal RNA". Rfam says of the family: 5.8S ribosomal RNA (5.8S rRNA) is a component of the large subunit of the eukaryotic ribosome. Lineage: Eukaryota; Fungi; Basidiomycota; Tremellomycetes; Tremellales; Bulleribasidiaceae. The record is from RNAcentral.